AGCGGCGGACGGGUUAGUAACGCGUGGGAACGUGCCCUUCUCUACGGAAUAGCCUCUGGAAACGGAGAGUAAUACCGUAUACGCCCUUUGGGGGAAAGAUUUAUCGGAGAAGGAUCGGCCCGCGUUAGAUUAGGUAGUUGGUGGGGUAACGGCCUACCAAGCCUACGAUCUAUAGCUGGUUUUAGAGGAUGAUCAGCAACACUGGGACUGAGACACGGCCCAGACUCCUACGGGAGGCAGCAGUGGGGAAUCUUAGACAAUGGGGGCAACCCUGAUCUAGCCAUGCCGCGUGAGUGAUGAAGGCCUUAGGGUCGUAAAGCUCUUUCGCCUGUGAUGAUAAUGACAGUAGCAGGUAAAGAAACCCCGGCUAACUCCGUGCCAGCAGCCGCGGUAAUACGGAGGGGGUUAGCGUUGUUCGGAAUUACUGGGCGUAAAGCGCGCGUAGGCGGAUUAGAAAGUUGGGGGUGAAAUCCCGGGGCUCAACCUCGGAACUGCCUCCAAAACUGCUAGUCUAGAGUUCGAGAGAGGUGAGUGGAAUUCCGAGUGUAGAGGUGAAAUUCGUAGAUAUUCGGAGGAACACCAGUGGCGAAGGCGGCUCACUGGCUCGAUACUGACGCUGAGGUGCGAAAGUGUGGGGAGCAAACAGGAUUAGAUACCCUGGUAGUCCACACCGUAAACGAUGAAUGCCAGUCGUCGGGUAGUAUACUAUUCGGUGACACACCUAACGGAUUAAGCAUUCCGCCUGGGGAGUAC
RNAcentral lists this ribosomal RNA (753 nucleotides) under uncultured marine bacterium. RNAcentral's name for it is "bacterial SSU rRNA". It matches the Rfam family "Bacterial small subunit ribosomal RNA", at positions 94 to 883 of the family's 1533-position model. The record is from RNAcentral.